This 4008-nucleotide long non-coding RNA is filed under the name Sinocyclocheilus grahami. RNAcentral's name for it is "lncRNA (ENSSGRG00000053120.1)". The record is from RNAcentral. Lineage: Eukaryota; Metazoa; Chordata; Actinopteri; Cypriniformes; Cyprinidae.
CUAUACAGCCAUAUGUCGUUUGCCCACUGAUUCGGAAACCAUUCCUUUAAACUCAACAUUCACUUGGAUGUCUGUAAAUUUCAGUUCCAGCCACAUUGAUGACAUCAAAGACCAUUUGAAAUGUGCACAGGGUCAGACAUUCGCUGUUAUUUUAAAUGAGAGCUGUGAAGUCUCACCUUCUGAGUCCUACACAACUCAAGUUGUCCCUCCAAGAACAAGUUCUGAGAGCAGUGCUACAUUCCCAACAGUCACACCAUCCACACCAUUAGCCACAAACACUUCUAAUACACCACUCAAUACAACAAGUCUAAUAUUCAAUACAUCCAUCAACAGUACAGGCAAUCAAACAAACACGGUGUCAAAUUAUACAGCAAGUCUACCACUCAAUUCAACACGUGAUAUAGUACCGCCGGUCAAUAUAGCAAGUACACAACACUAUAUAACAACCUCAAUGGUCAGUACAACACAUAAAACAUCCAGUGUAACACCUCAACUGAGCAAUACAGCAGUUACAAUACACUAUACAACAACCUCACCUGUCAGUACAACAGGUACAUCAAACAAUAUACUAGCACCAUUGGUCAGUACAACAACAACGACACACAAUAUAACAACCCCAGCAAUCAGCACAACAGGUACAACACACAAUAUAACUUCACCUGUCAAUACAACAGGUACAUCAAACAAUAUACCAGCAUCAUUGGUCAGUACAGCAAAUAUGACACCCAAUAUAACAACCUCACCUGUCAGUACAACAGGUACAUCAAACAAUAUACUAGAAUCAUUGGUCAGUACAACAAAUAUAACACCCAAUAUAACAACCUCACCUGUCGGUACAACAGGUACAUCAUACAAUAUACCAGAAUCAUUGGUCAGUACAACAAAUAUAAUACCCAAUAUAGCAACCUCACCUGUCGGUACAACAGGUACAUCAAACAAUAUACCAGCAUCAUUGGUCAGUACAGCAAAUAUGACACCCAAUAUAACAACCUCACCUGUCAGUACAACAGGUACAUCAAACAAUAUACUAGAAUCAUUGGUCAGUACAACAAAUAUAACACCCAAUAUAACAACCUCACCUGUCGGUACAACAGGUACAUUAAACAAUAUACCAGAAUCAUCGGUCAGUACAACAAAUAUAACACCCAAUAUAACAACCUCACCUGUCGGUACAACAGGUACAUCAUACAAUAUACCAGAAUCAUUGGUCAGUACAACAAAUAUAAUACCCAAUAUAGCAACCUCACCUGUCGGUACAACAGGUACAUCAAACAAUAUACCAGCAUCACUGGUCAGUACAACAAAUAUAAUACCCAAUAUAACAACCUCACCUGUCGGUACAACAGGUACAUCAAACAAUAUACCAGCAUCACUGGUCAGUACAACAAAUAUAAUACCCAAUAUAACAACCUCACCUGUCGGUACAACAGGUACAUCAAACAAUAUACCAGCAUCACUGGUCAGUACAACAAAUAAGACACCCAAUAUAACAACCUCACCAGUCAGCACAACAACUACGACACACGAUAUAAUAACCCCAACAGUCAGCGCAACAUACAAUGUAACAACCCCACCAGUCAGUUCAACAAAUACGGCACAUGAUAUAUUAACAACAACAGUCGGUGCAACAAAUACACCAUACAAUAUAGCAACCUCACAAGUCAAAACAAGACUCAAUAUAACCUCAGUGGUCAGUACAACUCACACAACACUCAAUGAAACAACCCCACUGGUCAAUACAAUAGAUACAUCACACAAUAUAAUGACUUCAAUGGUCACUACAACACAUACAACACUUGAUGUAACAGCCCAGCCGGUCAAUACAAUAGAUACAACAGAAAAAAUAACAACCUCAGUGGUCAGUACAACACAUACAACACUCAAUGUAACAACUCAACCAGUCGAUACAACAGACAAAAUAACAACCUCAAUGGUCAGUUCAAAACAUACAACACUCAAUGUAGUACCACACAAUAUAACAACUUCACAUGUCAGCACAACAGCUACAUCAAACAAUAUAGCAAACUCACCAAUCACAACAACAGGUACAGAAUCGACACUCAAUAUAACAACUUCAAAUGCCCAUACAACAGGUACGCCACACAAUUUAGCAAUCAGUACAACAGGUAUAUCAAAAUAUACAACAACCUCACCAGUCAGCACAACAGAUACAACACAUAAUAUAACAACCUCACCAGUCAGCACAACAGGUACCUCAAACAAUAUACCAACAUCACCAGUCAGUACAACAAAUAUGACACACAAUAUAAUAAUCCCACCAGUCAGCGCAACAGGUACAACACACAAUACAACAACCUCACCAGUCAGCACAACAGAUACAACACACAAUAUAACAACCUCACCAGUCAGCACAACAGAUACAACACACAAUAUAACAACCUCACCAGUCAGCACAACAGGUACCUCAAACAAUAUACCAACAUCACCAAUCAGUACAACAAAUAUGACACAUAAUAUAAUAAUCCCACCAGUCAGCGCAACAGGUACACCAUACAAUACAACAACCUCACCAGUCAGUACAACAGAAACAACACUCAAUUUAACACUCUCACUGGUCAAUACAAUAGAUCCAACACACAAUAUAACAGAAACCACAUUCGAUAUAACAAAUUCACCGGCCAGUACAAGAGAUACGACACUCAAUGUAACAGCCUCAAUGGUCCAUACAAUAAGUACACCACAUAAUAUAACAACCUCACCAGUCAAAACAACAGAAACGACAAUCAACACAACAACUACACCACAUAAUGUACCACCAUUACUGAUCAGUGCAACAAAUACAACACCUAAAAUAACAACCGCACCAGUUAGCACAACAGGCACACCCAUUAUAACAACCUCGUUGGUCAGUACAACAGAUAUAGCACUCAAUGUAACAACCCCACCAGUCAAUACAACAGUUACAGUACAAAACUUAACAUAUUCACCAGUCAAUACAACAGUCAUACCACUCAACCUAACUGUCACAAGACUCAGUUCAACAACCCCUACAGUCAGUACAACAGCCACAUCAAUUGACACAACUGCUGCAACAGUCACAACACUUGAUAAAACUUCAACAACUCUCAACACAUUAAUCAUGCCACUUAAUACAACAGGUAUGCCACUCAUUUCAACAGCCAUACCACCUUCUGAGGUGGAAACAACAACACCACCCAAUACAACAGCACAGAUAAGUGAAACUCUUAUUACAACAGUUAGACCAUUAAAUGCAACAGUCGCACCUCACUUAACUACUGCCAUGCCACUCAUCUCAACUGCACUACAUCAUACAACAGUCACACCAUUCAAUACAACAGUGAAAGUUCCAAACUCAACUUUCACAUCCGAAAGUCUGGAAAAUGCGACACAAUCUAACACAAGUAGUUCUCAAAUCUCUGGCGAAGUGUCCACCACCACCACCACAACCUUUCUGCCAAAUACAACACUGUUUAACUUGACAGCACCAUUACACCUAAAUGAAACAACACCCCCAUUAAACACUACACAACACACCACCACAUUCACAACACAUUUAAACAUUACUGGGCAAGACAAUACAACAAUAUUUAACACUACAUUAUUCACUCACAAUGUAACAACUCUCAUAGAAAAUAGGACAGAUUUAAUAAUACCUAAUGUGACAGAGGUUAACGGAACACUUAAAAUUACUACAAACCUCAAAAACACAACAAAUGUGAGCUCUUCUGUCUUAAAUACCACAACACAAUACCCACAUGUUACACAAUAUAACACAACCACUCUAUUUGAAAAUGCAACACACUCCGAUAAUACAAGCCUAACCCACACUACAGAAUCACCAAGUAACGUAAAUGAAUCAAAUACAACUCAACCUCUUGACAGUACAUCUGAAUUCAAUACAACAGCCAUUCCUUAUUACACAACACAACCUCUGAAUGAUUCUACAGUGGAGGAGACCACAGAUGCUGAAACUGAUACCACUACAGAUACACCUGAAUUCAAUACUACAAUGUAUUCACUUAACUU